Molecule: long non-coding RNA, 216 nt
Filed under: Gossypium barbadense (sea-island cotton)
Lineage: Eukaryota; Viridiplantae; Streptophyta; Magnoliopsida; Malvales; Malvaceae
Description: long non-coding RNA (GBAR_LNC001554)
Source: RNAcentral
AGUUUUUUAGUUAGUUGAGUUUAAGUCAGGUAGCACCAUGAACCCCAUCCUAGCGUCGGAUAUGGGCGAGGGGUGUUACAGAACAAAAGAUGUCUUUAAACUUUUUAACAUGAACACAAUAGCGGACAAUUUCUAAUUCACACAUCGGAUAAUUCUUUGAUGUGUCUUUAAUUGUAUAGAAUCAUAAGCUAUAUCUUUACACUCUUGUACUAGAAC